RNAcentral lists this long non-coding RNA (1384 nucleotides) under Fukomys damarensis (Damara mole-rat). Its description in RNAcentral is "lncRNA (ENSFDAG00000031371.1)". Lineage: Eukaryota; Metazoa; Chordata; Mammalia; Rodentia; Bathyergidae. The record is from RNAcentral.
AGCAGAGUUGGGGAGGGCAGGCUCUGAGCACGGGGACAGGCCUGUCCCCAAAGAGAGGUCACUGCUGCAAAGCCCCUGCCCUGGGCAGGGGCUCAGUGUGCACAGGAUUGGUCACUGUGGGCCUGCCCAGCGUGCCCUCGGCCACUCACAGGGCAAUGCCUGCCCGUCCAUGAGUCCCUGCAACACAAGAGUGCAUAGCCAAAGUCUGGGGACCAAGGGGAGGAGAGGGCUGGCCAGCGGACAGGAGCAUCUCUCCAGACUCCCGGGGAUGAGCUCCUGGCCCUGGCCUCUUCCUACUUAGAGAAGGUGGCCACAGCUUCCACAGUCUCCCAGCCUCUCAGCCCUGGUAGCCCCCACACCAUACCCAGGAAGGCGGAGGGGCUCAUAGACCCAGGCUGCCCCUGGCUGGGCUCCAUUCCACCAGGCAAAGCGCUGCACCCAGCCCCCACUGACCACCUGCACCCCAGGAUGCCACACAUUUAGUUCUCAAACUUUCCCUCACACACUUGUGCUUUCACAGAGCAAAUGCAACCUCCCCUACCUUGUACCUUGUCCUGAUUUGCCCAUCUCCUGAGCUAGAACUGUGAGACAGGAGCCUGGCAGGAACCUGGGCCCAGGAGCCAUGGAGUGAGGCAGUCUCUUCAGCCCAAGAGGGGCGCUCCAGGGCCCCGGAACCUCUAUCACCCCAGUCGUGUCCCUUCCUCACAUCUAGGACCUGAACUCCCUGGGCUCCUGGAGUAUCUGGCACUCGUGACUGCUCACCACGGUGAAUCUGCCUCAGUUUCCACUUCCCAGCCAGGACCCUGAGUCUCUGGGCUCCUGCAGCUUAGCAGAGCCAGGUCAAUUAAUGCUCUCUCCAUGCCCAGGGGGCUGCAGGAGACCGGGGUCCUAGAUUGUGCCUUCACAUGCGGGGCCUCCAGGCAGAGAACUCCCUUGGCUAUGCUUCCCUAUGUCUUGCUCCCUGUUGCUCAGAGGGCCAGUGUGCCAGGAGGGUCCUGGAAAGCUCCGGAGGGGGCGGCUAUACCCUUCCCACUGCAGGACUGCCAAGGCCAUGAAACAUCCCAAUAUGGACCACUACCUCCCAUCUGGACCCUCAAGCCAAGCCGGCCGGGUGCCCUCCCCACCCCGGAGCACCACCAGCCUCCAGCCAGGCCAGGCGAGGGGAGGCCCAGAGCCCCAUCCAGGUGUACUGCUGGGUGCCCUGGGAAGACCUUGCACUGGGAAGUCUCAGACACGCGGAACGCACCAGGCUCAGCUUGCAGGCCUGACGAAAUCCGAGCGACCCACGCCAGCCGCUGAGGGAAGGAGGGCGUGGCGUGGCGGUGCAGGUAGGGGGCGUGGCGGGGUAGUUGGUAGUGAGGGCCAUGACGAGGAGUCGCCAGGG